This 372-nucleotide ribosomal RNA is filed under the name uncultured organism. Its description in RNAcentral is "partial 16S ribosomal RNA". It matches the Rfam family "Bacterial small subunit ribosomal RNA", at positions 527 to 896 of the family's 1533-position model. The record is from RNAcentral.
GUAGGUGGCAAGCGUUGUCCGGAAUUAUUGGGCGUAAAGCGCGCGCAGGCGGUUCUUUAAGUCUGAUGUGAAAGCCCACGGCUCAACCGUGGAGGGUCAUUGGAAACUGGAGGACUUGAGUACAGAAGAGGGAAGCGGAAUUCCACGUGUAGCGGUGAAAUGCGUAGAGAUGUGGAGGAACACCAGUGGCGAAGGCGGCUUUCUGGUCUGUAACUGACGCUGAGGCGCGAAAGCGUGGGGAGCAAACAGGAUUAGAUACCCUGGUAGUCCACGCCGUAAACGAUGAGUGCUAAGUGUUAGGGGGUUUCCGCCCCCCUUAGUGCUGCAGCUAACGCAUUAAGCACUCCGCCUGGGAGUACGGCCGCAAGGCUG